AGAGUUUGAUUAUGGCUCAGGAUGAACGCUGGCGGCGUGCCUAACACAUGCAAGUCGAGCGAUUCUCUUCGGAGAAGAGCGGCGGACGGGUGAGUAACGCGUGGGUAACCUGCCUCAUACACAUGGAUAACAUACCGAAAGGUAUGCUAAUACAGGAUAAUAUAAGAGAUUCACAUGGAUUUCUUAUCAAAGCUCCGGCGGUAUGAGAUGGACCCGCGUCUGAUUAGCUAGUUGGUAAGGUAACGGCUUACCAAGGCGACGAUCAGUAGCCGACCUGAGAGGGUGAUCGGCCACAUUGGAACUGAGACACGGUCCAAACUCCUACGGGAGGCAGCAGUGGGGAAUAUUGCACAAUGGGCGAAAGCCUGAUGCAGCAACGCCGCGUGAGUGAUGAAGGCCUUCGGGUCGUAAAACUCUGUCCUCAAGGAAGAUAAUGACGGUACUUGAGGAGGAAGCCCCGGCUAACUACGUGCCAGCCGCAGC
Molecule: ribosomal RNA, 483 nt
Filed under: uncultured bacterium
Lineage: Bacteria
Description: bacterial SSU rRNA
Rfam family: Bacterial small subunit ribosomal RNA
Source: RNAcentral